GUGACUGUGGCUCAGUGGGAAGAGCAGUCGUCUUGCAAUCCAAAAGUUGUGUGUUCAAUUCCAACUUCCUCCUGUCACA
Non-coding RNA from Ataeniobius toweri, 79 nucleotides. Lineage: Eukaryota; Metazoa; Chordata; Actinopteri; Cyprinodontiformes; Goodeidae. The record is from the annotation of a GenBank genome assembly.